This 563-nucleotide ribosomal RNA is filed under the name uncultured bacterium. Its description in RNAcentral is "bacterial SSU rRNA". It matches the Rfam family "Bacterial small subunit ribosomal RNA", at positions 8 to 573 of the family's 1533-position model. The record is from RNAcentral.
AGAGUUUGAUCCUGGCUCAGGACGAACGCUGGCGGCGCGCCUAAUGCAUGCAAGUCGAGCGAGGCUCCACCCUUCGGGGUGGAUGUCCUAGCGGCAAACGGCUGAGUAACGCGUGGGUGAUCUACCCCAGAGAGGGGAAUAACCCGCCGAAAGGCGGACUAAUUCCGCAUACGCUCCACCGUGUAAAGGCGGUGGUGGAAAGGGUUCCGGGCAACCGGGGCCGCUCUGGGAGGAGCUCGCGUCCUAUCAGGUUGUUGGUGGGGUAACGGCCUACCAAAGCCAAAGACGGGUAGCUGGUGUGAGAGCACGACCAGCCAGAGGGGGACUGAGACACGGCCCCCACUCCUACGGGAGGCAGCAGCAGGGAAUCUUGCACAAUGGGCGAAAGCCUGAUGCAGCGACGCCGCGUGAGGGACGAAGGCUCUAGGGUUGUAAACCUCUUUUCUCAGGGAAGAGCAAGGACGGUACCUGAGGAAUAAGCCACGGCUAACUACGUGCCAGCAGCCGCGGUAAUACGUAGGUGGCGAGCGUUGUCCGGAAUUAUUGGGCGUAAAGGGUCCGUA